Molecule: ribosomal RNA, 272 nt
Filed under: uncultured bacterium
Lineage: Bacteria
Description: partial small subunit ribosomal RNA
Rfam family: Bacterial small subunit ribosomal RNA
Source: RNAcentral
AGAAUCAACGCUGGCGGCGUGCCUAACACAUGCAAGUCGAACGCGAAGACCCCGCAAGGGGUUUGUAGCGUGGCAAACGGGUGAGUAACACGUGGGUGACCUGCCUUCGAGCGGGGGAUAACGUCCCGAAAGGGACGCUAAUACCGCAUAACAUCCUGCCUUUUAAGAGGUGGAGAUCAAAGCCGGGGAUCGCAAGACCUGGCACUUGAAGAGGGGCCCGCGCCUGAUUAGCUAGUUGGUGAGGUAAUGGCUCACCAAGGCGACGAUCAGUA